This 375-nucleotide ribosomal RNA is filed under the name uncultured bacterium. RNAcentral describes it as "bacterial SSU rRNA". It matches the Rfam family "Bacterial small subunit ribosomal RNA", at positions 521 to 896 of the family's 1533-position model. The record is from RNAcentral.
UAAUACGAAGGGGGCGAGCGUUAUUCGGAAUCACUGGGCGUAAAGCGUGCGUAGGCGGUUUUGAAAGUUGGAAGUGAAAGCCCAGGGCUCAACCCUGGAAUUGCUCUCAAAACUACAAGACUCGGAUUCGGGAGAGGAUAGCGGAAUUGUCAGUGUAGCAGUGAAAUGCGUAGAUAUUGACAGGAACACCAGUGGCGCAAGCGGCUAUCUGGACCGACAUCGACGCUGAGGCACGAAAGCGUGGGGAUCAAACAGGAUUAGAUACCCUGGUAGUCCACGCCGUAAACGAUGUGUGUUUGUCGCCGGGGGGUUCACUCUUCGGUGACGCAGCUAACGCGUUAAGCACACCGCCUGGGAAGUACGGUCGCAAGAUUA